UGCCUCUUGGAUGUCUGGUACCUGGC
RNAcentral lists this non-coding RNA (26 nucleotides) under Mus musculus (house mouse). Lineage: Eukaryota; Metazoa; Chordata; Mammalia; Rodentia; Muridae. The record is from RNAcentral.